GUAAGAAUAAAAACAAACAGGAUUUUGAUCUCUAAUUGUAUGUUUCUUCUCCCCAUGAGAUAUUACAUGCAAAAGGUUCCUCAUAAUGAAGCCCAAGUUACCUGCAUCCAGGGGAAGAAGAAAAAAGGGUCAUUUGAGAGUUGUUUUGAGGACCCCAUGUUGCCACUCUUCAGAGGAGAGUCAAAGAGAACAACAACUUGCAAUUGGCCACCUUAAAUACCUUUUCUCAUGAUUGGAUGCACCUGUCUAUGAAGUUCAAGGCUUAAUUGGCUCACCAAACCUAUUGGCCACCUUAAAUACCUUAUUGCACAUUUUCUGUUAAUCCAAUAAACCUCAUUUCACUACAGAAA
This is a long non-coding RNA of Bombina bombina (fire-bellied toad), 350 nucleotides long. RefSeq lists it as uncharacterized. The transcript has 2 exons. The record is from RefSeq and is a predicted model, not a curated record. Lineage: Eukaryota; Metazoa; Chordata; Amphibia; Anura; Bombinatoridae.